Coregonus clupeaformis (lake whitefish) is the source of this 325-nucleotide long non-coding RNA. RefSeq lists it as uncharacterized. The record is from RefSeq and is a predicted model, not a curated record. NCBI's taxonomy places the organism in Eukaryota, Metazoa, Chordata, Actinopteri, Salmoniformes, Salmonidae. The transcript has 3 exons.
UAUGAUGCUUGUGACUGACAAAAUGCACAUUGGAAUUAUUGGAAUCCUACUGGGCAUGUACUUGAAGGUUCAAGCAGACUGUGAGCCGUACAUCAUUCUUAUUCGAGAGGAGGAGAGGUGCCUUCAUGAGUUGCGGCUGCAUAAUGUGUCCAAAACUCCCCAACCAGUCCCACAGGUAUCAAAAUCUGAAACUGCACAUCAGCACAUCACUGGGAACCAGGCCAGUUUGACAGUGGACUAGGUUUCCCUCUAGUGGCAGUAUAGAGUAGGUUACAGCUCAACAUCCUGUAUUAUUGUUGUAGUUAGUUACCCCUUUUGAGUUCAA